UACGUAGGGGGCUAGCGUUGUCCGGAAUCAUUGGGCGUAAAGCGCGUGUAGGCGGUCCGGUAAGUCCGCUGUGAAAGUCGGGGGCUCAACCCUCGGAUGCCGGUGGAUACUGUCGGGCUUGAGUACGGAAGAGGCGAGUGGAAUUCCUGGUGUAGCGGUGAAAUGCGCAGAUAUCAAGGAAGAACACCCGUGGCGAAGGCGGCUCUCGUGGGACGGUACUGACGCUGAGACGCGAAAGCUGGGGAGCGAAC
RNAcentral lists this ribosomal RNA (251 nucleotides) under uncultured bacterium. RNAcentral describes it as "partial 16S ribosomal RNA". It matches the Rfam family "Bacterial small subunit ribosomal RNA", at positions 524 to 773 of the family's 1533-position model. The record is from RNAcentral.